GACGAACGCUGGCGGCGUGCCUAGUACAUGCAAGUAGGACGCACAGCCUAUACCGUAGCUUGCUACACCAUAGGCUGUGAGUUGCGAACGGGUGAGUAACGCGUAGGUAACCUGCCUAUUAGAGGGGGAUAACUAUUGGAAACGAUAGCUAAUACCGCAUAACAGUAUGUAACACAUGUUAGAUGCUUGAAAGAUGCAAUUGCAUCGCUAGUAGAUGGACCUGCGUUGUAUUAGCUAGUAGGUAGGGUAAUGGCCUACCUAGGCAACGAUACAUAGCCGACCUGAGAGGGUGAUCGGCCACACUGGGACUGAGACACGGCCCAGACUCCUACGGGAGGCAGCAGUAGGGAAUCUUCGGCAAUGGGGGGAACCCUGACCGAGCAACGCCGCGUGAGUGAAGGAGGUUUUCGGAUCGUAAAGCUCUGUUGUUAAGGAAGAACGAGUGUGAGAAUGGAAAGUUCAUAC
RNAcentral lists this ribosomal RNA (465 nucleotides) under Streptococcus anginosus. Its description in RNAcentral is "bacterial SSU rRNA". It matches the Rfam family "Bacterial small subunit ribosomal RNA", at positions 28 to 469 of the family's 1533-position model. Lineage: Bacteria; Bacillati; Bacillota; Bacilli; Lactobacillales; Streptococcaceae. The record is from RNAcentral.